CGAAGGACGUCGAGAUCAAGAAGCGCGCAAACCCUCCGCCCUCUCUCUCUCUCUCUCUCUCUCCUCAUCCUCCGCCAUCUGCCGUGGAUGUCGCCUUCUUCAGGUGCAGCCGGGCUAAGGAAUCCCUCAGGAUUCCGGAUCUAUGUUGCUUGCUGCCGCAGGCUCCCAUGAGGGAGAGCGGCAGGACGCCGCGUUCGCUUCGAUCGAUCAUCGUCGGAGUGUUCGGUUUCAGUUUAGUCCCGGUGUCCAGAAACAUGGUUAGAAUCCGGUCCAAUUCCCUCACCACCACAGGCGAGCAGGCGGAAGACACGAUCGCCGUAGGUUCCUACGUGAAGGGACGUGAUCUCCCUCCGGCUGGAGCAAAUUUGGGGCUUCGCUUCGACCGAUCAUCUUGUGUUUCUGGUUCCCGCUGAUCCCCAUCUCAAGGUGACAUAUGCCCCUGUCUCGUGCUUAAGAUUUGUUGUGCCUCUCAGUUCUUGUUAUCGAUCUUUCAUCUUCACAUAAUGGAAAACGUGGUUAAGAUGUGAACCUAAGUGGAGAGACUUUUAUUUGGCUAAAAUGAGCCAUACAUACUUCGAUCUUGAAAUUGUUCUUUCACCCAACAGAAAAAAGAUACAUGAAAAAGAUAGAAAAGAAGAACGAUUUCGAACAAGUUAUUACAUGAGAUUUUUGGACUAGUUUAUCUUUUUUGAUGUAGUUUGCACUAUGCUAUCCGCUUAAUUAUAUGUGAAGGGUAUAUCGAUAUAUAUACACAGGCCCAAAAGUAGGUGAACGGGACAGGCGGGGCCAUGUCAGCCCAUGGCCACAUAAUGACUCUACUAAUGGCUUCCAUGCUAACUUGGAUGUAGAAAGCAUGAGGUUUGUGCUUCAGGGGUGACAAGCUUUUGGAAUAUACCUCAAUGCAUAUUAUGAGAUAUAGUCAAAUGUAUUCCUUCAUCCUUAAAAACUUUUAUCACUGAUCUCCGGCAACUAGAUGUCUUAUUUUGAACCACAAUAAAUCAUUCGACCGUGUUGUGCUUUAUGCAUAAAUUAAAUACAAUUGACUAAUCAAUAUAUAUGGUGGAUUUUUAAGAGGUUAUUAGCGUGUAUUAAUUACAUGAUGAUGGAAAUGAACAUUGUGUUCCAUUUGAUUAGAAAUCUGGGAUGAAGUUUUUCAGUUAAAUUGGAUAUAUGAGGAGCACAGAUGCUUCAGAGGCUAACCGGAUGUUGAAGAAGAUCAUUGGAAAUUGGAGUAAACUAGAAGCAUUACAAUGUGAAUUAGUUUUGGACCUUAGAGAAAUAUUAAAGAGGAGAUAAAAAUGUGCCCUAGAAAACAAUUGGAAAUUAAGUGCAUGAAGUAUUUGAUUUUCUCCAUUAAUUGGUUUGUCAUGCUUGUUUGAACGAUCUUAAUAUAAACGGAAAUUAAGACUAUGUCAUCGUCAGUCAUUAGAAUAUCAAAUCAUUUGAAGUGGCUAAGAAAGAUGAAAUCCAGCCUUUGAUUUAGCUCGUUGAUUUCCUGCAUAGAAAUACUCUUAAUUGCAGUCGAUUAUGCCAAAUAAAGUUCUCUAGAUGUCAGAUUGAUUCUUGCAUUGAUGGUCUAAUCUUGCCUGUUCACAUCCUUUCUAUCUUUAUGAUGAAGGGAGAAUAGCAACAAACAAAACAAAACAGUGACUGGAGCUUUUUCCUCGGCAUUCACCUUCAAUGAGACAUCAUCUGGUCACACUCCGCUCCGCUGGUAUUAAAUAGCCCGGACGUACCUUCUUUAAGAGGGUAACCUUCUUUACGAAUUAAACUUCCUCUUUAAGUUUAAUGAUCAUAGCAAUCCUGGGUGGGGAUGAAUUUGUGUUUUUUAUUGUCAUGUCAUGCUAAGAUGAGGUGAUUUAUGGCGUACACACCCUAGCGCAGUGUUCAAAUUAAUCGGAAAAAUAAUAGAAGGGCUUACUCGUAUGGAACAAGUUUAAUCCUAUAUUAUCUUUUCAAGUCCCGUCUGUCUACCAAGUUUACAUAACUAAUUGGAGUGGGCGUGUGGUUUUCUGCAUGUGAAAAUAAUGCGGCUGUAAGCGUAUAUGUAACUGUUCGUGUUAAUUGUUGUACAAUAUUAGUCAGGUGUUUCUUGGUCACCAUAUGCAUUGUUCCUAUACACACGACACAUCAUGUUUGCACAUAAAAGAUUAAUGAUACAAAUUCUACUGGUAUGUGUCUUUGUGCUUGCUAGAAUAUGGGACAUGUCUCUUGUGUCUAAAGUUGUUGGUCUUCGGCAGAUUAAUUAUCUGUUUGUGGGAUUAUGAAGUGGUUUUGGACAUUAAUGGGAGGAGUUGACUCUAGUUAACUGUUUUUUUUGUCUUUUUGCUUAUAUGUUACUUGCCAUAAAGCUCCUUCUUUGUGGCUUCAAUUCAAAAUGUAAGUGGCUGCUUCAAUUCAUGCA
Long non-coding RNA from Musa acuminata AAA Group (dessert banana), 2404 nucleotides. RefSeq lists it as uncharacterized. Lineage: Eukaryota; Viridiplantae; Streptophyta; Magnoliopsida; Zingiberales; Musaceae. The record is from RefSeq and is a predicted model, not a curated record. The transcript has 3 exons.